AGCGGCAGACGGGUGAGUAACGCGUGGGAACGUACCUUUUGGUUCGGAAUAACCCCGGGAAACUGGGGCUAAUACCGAAUGGUUCCUUCGGGAUAAAGAUUUAUCGCCAAAAGAUGAGUCCGCGUACGAUUAGCUAGUUGGUGAGGUAAUGGCUCACCAAGGCGACGAUCGUUAGCUGGUCUGAGAGGACGAUCAGCCACACUGGGACUGAGACACGGCCCAGACUCC
RNAcentral lists this ribosomal RNA (228 nucleotides) under uncultured bacterium. Its description in RNAcentral is "partial 16S ribosomal RNA". It matches the Rfam family "Bacterial small subunit ribosomal RNA", at positions 94 to 339 of the family's 1533-position model. The record is from RNAcentral.